This 370-nucleotide long non-coding RNA is filed under the name Homo sapiens (human). RNAcentral's name for it is "HSALNT0270144". The record is from RNAcentral. Lineage: Eukaryota; Metazoa; Chordata; Mammalia; Primates; Hominidae.
GGUUUCUGUGCGCUGCCGCCCUGUUUUCCCUGGGCUCUGCCCCUCCUGCGGGAUGUGCUCUGUGCCUUAUCUCACGAGGUCUGGGUCAGGGUUGGCAAUGAGGGGGACAUGAUAUUUAGAAAGAAACAUGAGGCAGUGGCCUCUGCAUCUCCUGACACCUGACAAGAGGGCGGGGCUUCCCAGCAGCAGGAGAAGCACUGAGGCUGCUGAGCCCAGGAAGGGGAAUCAGGUGAUUCUCCCAAGACACAUGACACACCCACAUGCCCAGGAAGCUCUGAGCAAGCAGGUGCAAGGUGGCCAAGAACAGGAACUCUCAGAAGCCUCCUGAGGCCAACAGCAGGAGGAGCUGCCUGCAGAGGGAGGCUUGCUC